This 497-nucleotide ribosomal RNA is filed under the name uncultured bacterium. Its description in RNAcentral is "partial 16S ribosomal RNA". It matches the Rfam family "Bacterial small subunit ribosomal RNA", at positions 28 to 507 of the family's 1533-position model. The record is from RNAcentral.
GAUGAACGCUGGCGGCGUGCCUAAUACAUGCAAGUCGAGCGAACAGACGAGGAGCUUGCUCCUCGGACGUUAGCGGCGGACGGGUGAGUAACACGUGGAUAACCUACCUAUAAGACUGGGAUAACUUCGGGAAACCGGAGCUAAUACCGGAUAAUAUAUUGAACCGCAUGGUUCAAUAGUGAAAGACGGUGUUGCUGGCACGUAUAGAUGGAUCCGCGCCGCAUGAGCUAGUUGGUAAGGUAACGGGUUACCAAGGCAACGAUGCGUAGCCGACCUGAGAGGGUGAUAGGCCACACUGGAACUGAGACACGGUCCAGACUCCUACGGGAGGCAGCAGUAGGGAAUCUUCCGCAAUGGGCGAAAGCCUGACGGAGCAACGCCGCGUGAGUGAUGAAGGUCUUCGGAUCGUAAAACUCUGUUAUUAGGGAAGAACAAACGUGUAAGUAACUAUGCACGUCUUGACGGUACCUAAUCAGAAAGCCCCGGCUAACUACGUG